CGCGCUCCAAAACUUAUCUCUUUUGAAUACAUCUGAUUUGAUAUCGUUUUGCGACUCAGUCCUACUUUUGCCUUUAACGAAAUUCAUUAAUUUUUCGGUUAGUUCUGCAUUUGUUUUGGGGAAUGUCCGAUUCGGGUUUUGAAGUUCUGGGUUAUCUAUUCCUAGGAGUUAUUAUUUUUGCAGGAUGGUUUCUCUGUCUUAUGUGUUAUCACCGAGAUGCCAAGCGUAAAAAACAGGCAAGGCAGGCACAAGCGCCAAGUAGAAACGUUAAUGUAAUUAGGACUUCCGAUGGGAAUUUCGUACCAAGGACCGAUGCGCCAAUUUGGACAACACAAAUUAGCAUGGUUGAACAGAUGGAAGGACAUACACACAACACGCUGCCAAGAAUUGAAGUGCGUUACCCACGAAGAGAGAUACGACGACAAAGUGACGCAGACAUUUUAUUUGGAAAUGCAAACAUUUUCGGAAUCACAAAUGAAGGCAUUCAAAUAGAAGAAUCCACAAGCAACCAUAGUGUGGAGUCUCUACAUGAUGAUACAAACAGAAAGAACCAUGAUGGACUUCCAACUUACCAUGAAGCACUCCAACUGCCAAAAAAAGAAGAACAAACUUGAGAUAAACUUUCAAUGAAACUACACACGAUUUGGAUUAUCAAUGGAUAUUUAUUUAUUUUUUUAUCGUUUUUAACUUUUAUUUAAUAAUAAUCAUUAAUAUUAAGUUUUUUUUAUAUAUUUAGUAGGUUAUAUUUUUAAUUUUUUGAUAUAAUAUUAAUACAUAAUAAUAAACUUAAGAGAAAUACGAAUUUUA
Long non-coding RNA from Culicoides brevitarsis, 807 nucleotides. RefSeq lists it as uncharacterized. The record is from RefSeq and is a predicted model, not a curated record. The transcript is spliced from 3 exons. NCBI's taxonomy places the organism in Eukaryota, Metazoa, Arthropoda, Insecta, Diptera, Ceratopogonidae.